UAUUAUUAUUAUUAUUAUUAUUAUUAUUAUUAUUAUUAUUAUUAUUGGCUGCCACAAACACACCGACACACAAAACAACAGGCAAAAAAACUAGGAAAAAUCCCUGUCCGGAAAACACGCCCAGCGAGUGCCGGCGUUAGACUGCAGAAAAUAAUUUCCUUAGGAGAUCUGAAGCCUCCGAUGCGGUUUUACCAUUUCUAUCUUCCACACCACCCUGCAGGGUAGGCUGGCUUUGUAAGGGAAGGGGGAAACCACCAAACGUGCAAUUUUAGGAAUAUAAUCGUUUCGAACCAAGCCGGGCCCGAGAGAUCUUUCAAAUCACUGGGACCUUUUUUGUGUCUUCCUUUUGUAUCUUUUCCCCCUCAGAUCAACACCAAAAUUAACAAUGAAAAAUAUCUCCGGGCUCACACCGAAAUUGAGGUUCUGCUGUCCGGAUUUCUCAGAGACGUCUUGAUGAAACGUCCGGAGAAUAUCCGAGAAUUUGCAGCAGACUAUUUCACCAACCCGGAGCUGCCGAAAAAGAUCCAGCAACAGAUGAUGGAGAAGCUAAACCAGGCCACUUAAGGGCCUCCUGCUUUGAAAAUUUAAAUAAUCCCCCCCCCCUCCAAUUAUUAUAUUUCUUGGAAUCUCUUUCCUUUUCAUCAGUUGUUAAUAAACCCACAAAAUGCAUGAAAA
This is a non-coding RNA of Pantherophis guttatus, 675 nucleotides long. NCBI's taxonomy places the organism in Eukaryota, Metazoa, Chordata, Lepidosauria, Squamata, Colubridae. The record is from RefSeq and is a predicted model, not a curated record.